Molecule: ribosomal RNA, 253 nt
Filed under: uncultured bacterium
Lineage: Bacteria
Description: partial 16S ribosomal RNA
Rfam family: Bacterial small subunit ribosomal RNA
Source: RNAcentral
UACGGAGGGCGCUAGCGUUGUUCGGAAUUACUGGGCGUAAAGCGCACGUAGGCGGCUAUUCAAGUCGGGGGUGAAAGCCCGGGGCUCAACCCCGGAACUGCCCUCGAAACUAGGUAGCUAGAAUCUUGGAGAGGCGAGUGGAAUUCCGAGUGUAGAGGUGAAAUUCGUAGAUAUUCGGAAGAACACCAGUGGCGAAGGCGACUCGCUGGACAAGUAUUGACGCUGAGGUGCGAAAGCGUGGGGAGCAAACAGG